This 516-nucleotide ribosomal RNA is filed under the name uncultured Glomus. Its description in RNAcentral is "SSU rRNA". It matches the Rfam family "Eukaryotic small subunit ribosomal RNA", at positions 569 to 1088 of the family's 1831-position model. The record is from RNAcentral. Lineage: Eukaryota; Fungi; Glomeromycota; Glomeromycetes; Glomerales; Glomeraceae.
AGCAGCCGCGGUAAUUCCAGCUCCAAUAGCGUAUAUUAAAGUUGCUACAGUUAAAAAGCUCGUAGUUGAAUUUCGGGAUCAAUAUGUUGGUCGUGCCUUGGUACGUACUAGCUUAUUGGUUUCUCCCUUCUGACGAACCAUGAUGUCAUUAAUUUGGUGUUAUGGGGAAUCAGGACUGUUACUUUGAAAAAUUAGAGUGUUUAAAGCAGGCUCGCGCUUGAAUACAUUAGCAUGGAAUAAUGAAAUAGGACAUUUGAUUCUAUUUUGUUGGUUUCUAGGAUCGAUGUAAUGAUUAAUAGGGAUAGUUGGGGGCAUUAGUAUUCAAUUGUCAGUGGUGAAAUUCUUGGAUUUAUUGAAGACUAACUACUGCGAAAGCAUUUGCCAAGGAUGUUUUACAUUAAUCAAGAACGAAAGUUAGGGGAUCGAAGACGAUCAGAUACCGUCGUAGUCUUAACCAUAAACUAUGCCGACUAGGGAUCGGAUGAUGUUAAUUUUUAAUGUACUCAUUCGGUACCG